This 1114-nucleotide ribosomal RNA is filed under the name uncultured Bacteroides sp. RNAcentral's name for it is "bacterial SSU rRNA". It matches the Rfam family "Bacterial small subunit ribosomal RNA", at positions 137 to 1251 of the family's 1533-position model. Lineage: Bacteria; Pseudomonadati; Bacteroidota; Bacteroidia; Bacteroidales; Bacteroidaceae. The record is from RNAcentral.
UCUUGGCCAGCCUUCUGAAAGGAAGAUUAAUCCAGGAUGGCAUCAUGAGUUCACAUGUCCGCAUGAUUAAAGGUAUUUUCCGGUAGACGAUGGGGAUGCGUUCCAUUAGAUAGUAGGCGGGGUAACGGCCCACCUAGUCAACGAUGGAUAGGGGUUCUGAGAGGAAGGUCCCCCACAUUGGAACUGAGACACGGUCCAAACUCCUACGGGAGGCAGCAGUGAGGAAUAUUGGUCAAUGGGCGAUGGCCUGAACCAGCCAAGUAGCGUGAAGGAUGACUGCCCUAUGGGUUGUAAACUUCUUUUAUAAAGGAAUAAAGUCGGGUAUGCAUACCCGUUUGCAUGUACUUUAUGAAUAAGGAUCGGCUAACUCCGUGCCAGCAGCCGCGGUAAUACGGAGGAUCCGAGCGUUAUCCGGAUUUAUUGGGUUUAAAGGGAGCGUAGAUGGAUGUUUAAGUCAGUUGUGAAAGUUUGCGGCUCAACCGUAAAAUUGCAGUUGAUACUGGAUGUCUUGAGUGCAGUUGAGGCAGGCGGAAUUCGUGGUGUAGCGGUGAAAUGCUUAGAUAUCACGAAGAACUCCGAUUGCGAAGGCAGCCUGCUAAGCUGCAACUGACAUUGAGGCUCGAAAGUGUGGGUAUCAAACAGGAUUAGAUACCCUGGUAGUCCACACGGUAAACGAUGAAUACUCGCUGUUUGCGAUAUACGGCAAGCGGCCAAGCGAAAGCGUUAAGUAUUCCACCUGGGGAGUACGCCGGCAACGGUGAAACUCAAAGGAAUCGACGGGGGCCCGCACAAGCGGAGGAACAUGUGGUUUAAUUCGAUGAUACGCGAGGAACCUUACCCGGGCUUAAAUUGCACUCGAAUGAUCCGGAAACGGUUCAGCUAGCAAUAGCGAGUGUGAAGGUGCUGCAUGGUUGUCGUCAGCUCGUGCCGUGAGGUGUCGGCUUAAGUGCCAUAACGAGCGCAACCCUUGUUGUCAGUUACUAACAGGUGAUGCUGAGGACUCUGACAAGACUGCCAUCGUAAGAUGUGAGGAAGGUGGGGAUGACGUCAAAUCAGCACGGCCCUUACGUCCGGGGCUACACACGUGUUACAAUGGGGGGUACAGAGGGCCGCU